Molecule: ribosomal RNA, 207 nt
Filed under: uncultured bacterium
Lineage: Bacteria
Description: partial 16S ribosomal RNA
Rfam family: Bacterial small subunit ribosomal RNA
Source: RNAcentral
UACGUAGGGUGCAAGCGUUAAUCGGAAUUACUGGGCGUAAAGCGUGCGCAGGCGGUGAUGUAAGACAGGUGUGAAAUCCCCGGGCUUAACCUGGGAACUGCAUUUGUGACUGCAUCGCUGGAGUGCGGCAGAGGGGGAUGGAAUUCCGCGUGUAGCACGUGAAAUGCGUAGAUAUGCGGAGGAACACCGAUGGCGAAGGGCAAUCCC